GGAAGUAAAAGUCGUAACAAGGUUUCCGUAGGUGAACCUGCGGAAGGAUCAUUAAAGAGUAAGGGUGCUCAGCGCCCGACCUCCAACCCUUUGUUGUUAAAACUACCUUGUUGCUUUGGCGGGACCGCUCGGUCUCGAGCCGCUGGGGAUUCGUCCCAGGCGAGCGCCCGCCAGAGUUAAACCAAACUCUUGUUAUUUAACCGGUCGUCUGAGUUAAAAUUUUGAAUAAAUCAAAACUUUCAACAACGGAUCUCUUGGUUCUCGCAUCGAUGAAGAACGCAGCGAAAUGCGAUAAGUAAUGUGAAUUGCAGAAUUCAGUGAAUCAUCGAAUCUUUGAACGCACAUUGCGCCCCUUGGUAUUCCGAGGGGCAUGCCUGUUCGAGCGUCAUUACACCACUCAAGCUAUGCUUGGUAUUGGGUGCCGUCCUUAGUUGGGCGCGCCUUAAAGACCUCGGCGAGGCCUCACCGGCUUUAGGCGUAGUAGAAUUUAUUCGAACGUCUGUCAAAGGAGAGGACUUCUGCCGACUGAAACCUUUAUUUUUCUAGGUUGACCUCGGAUCAGGUAGGGAUACCCGCUGAACUUAAGCAUAUCAAUAAGCGGAGGA
This 605-nucleotide ribosomal RNA is filed under the name uncultured Aureobasidium. Its description in RNAcentral is "eukaryotic LSU rRNA". The stretch from base 235 to 388 matches the Rfam family "5.8S ribosomal RNA". The record is from RNAcentral. Lineage: Eukaryota; Fungi; Ascomycota; Dothideomycetes; Dothideales; Dothioraceae.